This is a long non-coding RNA of Megalops cyprinoides (Indo-Pacific tarpon), 337 nucleotides long. RefSeq lists it as uncharacterized. The record is from RefSeq and is a predicted model, not a curated record. NCBI's taxonomy places the organism in Eukaryota, Metazoa, Chordata, Actinopteri, Elopiformes, Megalopidae. The transcript is spliced from 3 exons.
AGCUUUCAGAGGAGUCAACGUGGACACUGUGAACAUGAAGAAUGAGGAGAGCCAAAUGCCAGAUUCUCAGCUUGGCAUUGGCUUCACAACAAGGACCACUUUGAACAGACUUGUUGAAGCUGGUGAAGUCUCCCGAUUCAGCAAAGAGGUUCCAUGCUGCAGCAAGGAGUUUCUUCAAAACAGCAGUGGAGUAUGCCAUAGCUAAGCUCCCACUGAAUGAUCCAGUGCUACAACACUCCAAGUUUGUGGACUUCAAGCAAAAAAUGGAUGCCACUGUCGAUGAUAUGCUGUACUUUGUUCAAAGAUUCAACCAUCUCCUGCCCUAUGAUCAGCCAAG